Mercenaria mercenaria is the source of this 807-nucleotide long non-coding RNA. RefSeq lists it as uncharacterized. The transcript is spliced from 3 exons. NCBI's taxonomy places the organism in Eukaryota, Metazoa, Mollusca, Bivalvia, Venerida, Veneridae. The record is from RefSeq and is a predicted model, not a curated record.
ACAUAACAUUGAUCAGUUGUGACGUUAAAACCAACAAAAACAAACAACUCGUACUCAUUACCUUGGAGCCGUCCGCAACUAGUAACCUAUUCAACGCUUCCCCAACCUUACACCAAAUAAUCAAGUCUUCAUUUAAAAUUUACUAUGCUUGAUUUAGCGCCUAAAUGUACGCAAAGUAAACUUAUUUUCUGACCGAAAUGUUUCAUUCCUAUAUAUUGUGCGUCGCAGAAAAUUCUUUGGUAAUCUUGUCCGUUUGUUAGUCUGUUUUCAGUUUUAAUAACGUUUUCUUUGACCUGGGAUAUUUACUCUUCUUUUAAAGGUUAUCUGAGGAAGGCAUAAGUUUGAUGGCCAAAGAAAAGAAAAUAUGUUGGAGACAAAGGAACACAGAAAGUUAACAGAUAGCCGGUAUGCAACCUUCCACAAUUCUGAACUACAGUUACCGGAAAAACUGAGAUAUCAGACGACCAUCGGCUUUUUAUUUUAUCUACCCAACUUAGCAGCACAAUGGUUUACAGCACAAUUGGACAUUUCGACAGGCCGGCUAUUGAAAACUUUAGGAAUCCUUUUGAUAUCAUUUAUUAUGGAGAUUUCACUCUGACCAUUGAGGAAAACACUGCAGGUUUUCACACAGAAGGCAAGCUAAUGCUGACGCGUGGCAAGACGGGCACCAUCCUCAAUUUCAGUGAGCCAAGACAACUUAUAAGAAUAUAUUUCAAGAGAAGGCGAUGUUUUAUCUUCAGGAAACCUGCAAAACAAAACCGUAUUUUCAAGCUGAUGAAAGUACCAAGAGACUGAUUUGAAACCAGA